GUCGUAUUGGUUGAUUGGGAAACUCAUCAGUUAAUAAAAUACCGAGACAAGCGUUCAAUUCUGAUGGCGGGCCACACCUUUCGGGGUUGUCUUUGACACCGUGGAUUACAAAGGAACUGAAGCACUCAAAUCCUGUUUUAUGGGGUUUCGUCUACAUCUUACCAAUACGACAUUC
RNAcentral lists this small RNA (175 nucleotides) under uncultured Dysgonomonas sp. Its description in RNAcentral is "Bacteroidales-1 6S-Bacteroidales RNA suggested". It matches the Rfam family "Bacteroidales-1 6S-Bacteroidales RNA suggested". The record is from RNAcentral. Lineage: Bacteria; Pseudomonadati; Bacteroidota; Bacteroidia; Bacteroidales; Dysgonomonadaceae.